GACGUAGGGAGCGAGCGUUGUCCGGAUUCAUUGGGCGUAAAGAGCGCGCAGGCGGUUUGGUAAGUCGGAUGUGAAAACCCGGGGCUCAACCCCGGGCGUGCAUCUCGAUACUGCCCGACUAGAGGUAGGUAGGGGAGAUCGGAAUUCCUGGUGUAGCGGUGAAAUGCGCGGAUAUCAGGAGGAACACCGGUGGCGAAGGCGGAUCUCUGGGCCUUACCUGACGCUCAGGCGCGAAAGCUAGGGGAGCGAACAGG
RNAcentral lists this ribosomal RNA (254 nucleotides) under uncultured bacterium. Its description in RNAcentral is "partial 16S ribosomal RNA". It matches the Rfam family "Bacterial small subunit ribosomal RNA", at positions 524 to 776 of the family's 1533-position model. The record is from RNAcentral.